GAUGAAGAACGCAGCGAAAUGCGAUAAGUAAUGUGAAUUGCAGAAUUCAGUGAAUCAUCGAAUCUUUGAACGCACAUUGCGCCCCUUGGUAUUCCGAGGGCAUGCCUGUUCGAGCGUCAUUAUAACCCCUCAAGCUCAGCUUGGUGUUGGGGCCUGCUGCACUGGCAGCCCUUAAAAUCAGUGGCGGCGCCAUCUGGCUCUAAGCGUAGUAAUUCUUCUCGCUAUGGAGUCCUGGUGGAUGCUUGCCAUCAACCCCCAAUUUUUCUAUGGUUGACCUCGGAUCAGGUAGGGAUACCCGCUGAACUUAAGCAUAUCAAUAAGCGGAGGA
Molecule: unclassified non-coding RNA, 328 nt
Filed under: soil metagenome
Description: partial contains 5.8S ribosomal RNA, internal transcribed spacer 2, and large subunit ribosomal RNA
Rfam family: 5.8S ribosomal RNA (bases 1-119)
Source: RNAcentral